AACGAACGCUGGCGGUAGGCCUAACACAUGCAAGUCGAGCGCGCCCUUCGGGGUGAGCGGCGGACGGGUGAGUAACGCGUGGGAACGUGCCCUUUUCUACGGAAUAGCCUCGGGAAACUGAGAGUAAUACCGUAUACGCCCUUUGGGGGAAAGAUUUAUCGGAAAAGGAUCGGCCCGCGUUGGAUUAGGUAGUUGGUGGGGUAAUGGCCUACCAAGCCGACGAUCCAUAGCUGGUUUGAGAGGAUGAUCAGCCACACUGGGACUGAGACACGGCCCAGACUCCUACGGGAGGCAGCAGUGGGGAAUCUUAGACAAUGGGGGCAACCCUGAUCGAGCCAUGCCGCGUGAGUGAUGAAGGCCUUAGGGUUGUAAAGCUCUUUCAGCUGGGAAGAUAAUGACGGUACCAGCAGAAGAAGCCCCGGCUAACUCCGUG
RNAcentral lists this ribosomal RNA (433 nucleotides) under uncultured bacterium. RNAcentral's name for it is "partial 16S ribosomal RNA". It matches the Rfam family "Bacterial small subunit ribosomal RNA", at positions 29 to 507 of the family's 1533-position model. The record is from RNAcentral.